AAGACCUAGUAAUAGGUAUGCUUUAGGAGGGGCUUGCGCCAUAUUAGUUAGUUGGUAGGGUAAUGGCCUACCAAGACGAUGAUGUGUAGCUGGACUGAGAGGUUGAACAGCCACAUUGGGACUGAGACACGGCCCAAACUCCUACGGGAGGCAGCAGUAGGGAAUUUUCGGCAAUGGAGGAAACUCUGACCGAGCAACGCCGCGUGAAUGACGAAGUACUUCGGUAUGUAAAGUUCUUUUAUCAAGGAAGAAAAGCAAAUGGCGAACCAUUUGUUUGCCGGUACUUGAUGAAUAAGCCCCGGCUAAUUAUGUGCCAGCAGCCGCGGUAAGACAUAAGGGGCAAGUGUUAUCCGGAAUUAUUGGGCGUAAAGGGUGCGUAGGCGGUCUAGUAAGUCAGUGGUGUAAUGGCAACGCUUAACGUUGUCCGGCUAUUGAAACUGCUAAACUUGAGUUAGAUAGAGGCGAGUGGAAUUCCAUGUGUAGCGGUAAAAUGCGUAAAUAUAUGGAGGAACACCANAGGCGUAGGCGGCUCGCUGGGUCUUAACUGACGCUGAGGCACGAAAGCGUGGGGAGCAAACAGGAUUA
RNAcentral lists this ribosomal RNA (585 nucleotides) under Sesamum phyllody phytoplasma. RNAcentral describes it as "bacterial SSU rRNA". It matches the Rfam family "Bacterial small subunit ribosomal RNA", at positions 198 to 780 of the family's 1533-position model. The record is from RNAcentral. Lineage: Bacteria; Bacillati; Mycoplasmatota; Mollicutes; Acholeplasmatales; Acholeplasmataceae.